GUGAAUCAUCAAAUCUUUGAACGCAUAUUGCACUCUCUGGUAUUCCGUAGAGUAUGCCUAUUUGAGGGUCAUUUAAAAUAAUAUACAUUCCAUGAUUUUUCGGAAUUUAAACUGGGUUGUCCAUUUUUUGUGCUCAAAUACAAUCCCAGACAAGCUAAUUUUCCCGGGUCGCGUGAUACUUUAAGUCACCUCGUGACUUAACCAGGACUCAUCGGUCGUGUUAUGAAUUUUACAAGAGAUAAAAAAUUCCAUACAUUUAUACCAUACGAAAUCGAAAU
This 278-nucleotide unclassified non-coding RNA is filed under the name Ambisporaceae sp. Its description in RNAcentral is "partial contains 5.8S ribosomal RNA and internal transcribed spacer 2". The stretch from base 1 to 71 matches the Rfam family "5.8S ribosomal RNA", at positions 84 to 154 of the family's 154-position model. Lineage: Eukaryota; Fungi; Glomeromycota; Glomeromycetes; Archaeosporales; Ambisporaceae. The record is from RNAcentral.